CAUCUUCUAAUUGCAUAUUUUCCCCUCUUUGGCUCUCUCUCUCUCCUUUCAACUUUGGGUUUAGUAUUAUUUCACUUUCCUGUCAAUUUAGAUUUAAUUUUAAUCAUCACAACUGCUGCUUUUUUUGUUGGCUUCACAAGCAUUUCUUGCUUCACAUAAAUUCAUACAUUGAAACACAUUGCUUCAGUUACUCAACGAAAAAACGUUUUCAUUCAACUUUUUGUUGACUCUCUUCAUCUGUUUACUGUGUCAGUGUUUACACAUCCUCGUGUUGUUGUCUUUUCCCUUCAACAGCUGAUCAUUUUGUGUAUACUCGUGUUUACUGUGCAAGUUUCUUACCUUUUCUGUGCUUGGUUUAUCAUCUCACUUUAUCCAUCUUCUUCAUCCAUUUGACUCUUCGGCUUUUCCCUUUCAACUCACAACGAGCAAAUCAUUGUAAAUAUGAAUGGAUCAAAAUGAGAGACUCAUUUUCCAUCUCAAACUAUGCUUAAUCAUCAAUAUUCAUGGAAUGCAAUUAACGACCAAUUAAACAUCUUCCAAGACCAAGCAAUCAACAGCAACAGAUAACACCAAUUACGCAGCAAACGAAAAGAGCAACAUUUUGAUAAAUUAUUUUUUUCUCGAGGAAACCUCAACAAUGCAAAUAACAAUUACCAAUUGAAAUUGACCAAUCGAUAUCAUUUUACACUGGACAAUAAUUGGAUAAGCAACUUUGAAAUUAUCGAUAAAAAUAUUUUCUUUCUAUUCAUCAGGUAAGCAAAGCACUUUACAAUCUUUACACAACUUGAAGGUAAUAACAAUAAAUUG
Molecule: non-coding RNA, 807 nt
Organism: Tetranychus urticae (two-spotted spider mite)
Lineage: Eukaryota; Metazoa; Arthropoda; Arachnida; Trombidiformes; Tetranychidae
Source: RefSeq, a predicted model, not a curated record